This 582-nucleotide ribosomal RNA is filed under the name uncultured bacterium. RNAcentral's name for it is "bacterial SSU rRNA". It matches the Rfam family "Bacterial small subunit ribosomal RNA", at positions 102 to 670 of the family's 1533-position model. The record is from RNAcentral.
ACGGGUGAGUAACACGUGGGUAACCUGCCUGUAAGAUUGGGAUAACUCCGGGAAACCGGGGCUAAUACCGAAUAAUACAUAGAAUCGCAUGAUUCUAUGUUGAAAGAUGGUUUCGGCUAUCACUUACAGAUGGACCCGCGGCGCAUUAGCUAGUUGGUGAGGUAACGGCUCACCAAGGCAACGAUGCGUAGCCGACCUGAGAGGGUGAUCGGCCACACUGGGACUGAGACACGGCCCAGACUCCUACGGGAGGCAGCAGUAGGGAAUCUUCGGCAAUGGACGAAAGUCUGACCGAGCAACGCCGCGUGAGUGAAGAAGGUUUUCGGAUCGUAAAACUCUGUUGUUAAGGAAGAACAAGUACGAGAGUAACUGCUCGUACCUUGACGGUACUUAACCAGAAAGCCACGGCUAACUACGUGCCAGCAGCCGCGGUAAUACGUAGGUGGCAAGCGUUGUCCGGAAUUAUUGGGCGUAAAGCGCGCGCAGGCGGUCUUUUAAGUCUGAUGCGAAAGCCCCCGGCUCAACCGGGGAGGGUCAUUGGAAACUGGGAGACUUGAGUGCAGAAGAGAAGAGCGGAAUUCC